Molecule: long non-coding RNA, 432 nt
Filed under: Brassica rapa (field mustard)
Lineage: Eukaryota; Viridiplantae; Streptophyta; Magnoliopsida; Brassicales; Brassicaceae
Description: long non-coding RNA (BRAP_LNC002149)
Source: RNAcentral
UAGCUAUCCACCCCAAUUUCCCUAAUCCAAAUUGGCAACAAAGCACAAGGAGUUUUAAACAAACAAAAAACUCCUAAGCAAAGCAGGAAAAUCUGACGCAAUGUAAGAUUGAAACAGAUCCUCUUAACAACACUUUUCGCUAUGAGAAAAGCUGUUUUAAGGGCAUGACGAGACUGAACUUUCACUUGCCAAACAUCCGUUUUUUGUUAUUGUUUUUUUUAUAUCUAAACUAUAUACAACUAGGUGAAGUUCCGUACCUUGUGCGGAUUAAUAUAUAUAUAUAUAUCUAACGAAUUAUAAUUUAAUAUAAAUAUUAUAUUAAUUUAAUAAUUUUUAAAUUAAUAUUUUUAGUCGUUGAGAGUUUUAUUAUGCUUUAUUUAACCAAAUUUUAAUUGCUUGUUGUGUAGAUUUCUUUUUUUUUUCUUAUUGUUU